GGCUACUUAGCUCAGUUGAUAGAGCGCUGCUCUCAUGAGGCAGAGGUCCCAGGUUUAAAUCCUGGAGUAGCCA
Molecule: transfer RNA, 73 nt
Filed under: Candidatus Pacearchaeota archaeon CG10_big_fil_rev_8_21_14_0_10_30_48
Lineage: Archaea; Nanobdellati
Description: tRNA-Met
Rfam family: tRNA
About the family: Transfer RNA (tRNA) molecules are approximately 80 nucleotides in length. Their secondary structure includes four short double-helical elements and three loops (D, anti-codon, and T loops).
Source: RNAcentral